CGCUUCCUCAUGGGACUCAGGCAAGACUCACAACACCCCCUGGUUUACCGGGGCAAGGCCAGCCCGAAACUCCCCAGUCCCUCUGCCUUGUGAACGAUCCCCCUGACUGCUCCUCCCACUGAGCCACCCCACAGGAUGCCUGUGACCCAGGCUUGGGUUAACAUGGCACCGCCCUCCAGGUCCUCAUCUGAGGCCCCAACUGGAGGCAGCAGACAGCCCCUCAGAGGCCAGGGUGGUUCCAGGAGGAACUCUACUCCACUGUCCCAUGGGUACCGUCAUCCCUUCUCCCAACACUCAUGCCUCUAGCCUUGCCGACCACUUUCUGUAAGAGAAAACCCCUGUCCCAACCCUCGAGACGCCUGCAGAGCUCAUGGUCAGGCAUCCUCCUCCCUGCAGCCGGCCCCUCCCUUAAGACUGCACGUGUCUUUCUCUGGCAUUGGUUCUCAGUGGUUCUUACGUUGGGGACAAUGGUCCCCUCUCUUCUGACCGCACCUGCCCAGGGAAGACACCAGCAUUCCUGGCCCCAUGUCCAGCUGUGGCCCAGGGCUCCAUGAGGACCCAGGAACUGUGGCACACAGGGUCCCUCUGCUCGGUGGCUGAUGUGGUAAGGAGGGACAGACCCACUGCAAGGCCCCACGCAGGCACUGUACAAAUGACCCUUCUCACAAUGGCACAGGCUCUCUGGGGGCUCACAUAUGUGACAGCUAUGGGGGAGGGUGGGAGGCUGUGGGCUAAGCCAAGCCCAAGGUCCCGCCCCACAGGUCCGGGAAGGGACAGGAUGACAGGCAGGACAGGCCAGGGUGAGCGAAGUCUUGACCCUGGUGUUAACCCAAAAUAUCUGAGAUGGGUCUCAGUCAAUUUAGGAAGUUUAUUUAGCCAAAGUUAAGGACGUGCGCCCAUGACACAUCCUCAGGAGGUCAUGAUGCCCAAGGUGGUCAGGGUGCAGCUUGGUUUUAUACAUUUUAGGGAGGCAUGUGGCAUCAAUCAAUAUGUGUAAGAGGUACAUUGGUUUCGUCCAGAAAGGCAGGACCACUGGAAAGAGGGAGGGGGCUUCCUGGUCACAGGCAGGUCAAGAACAAACUUGCAUUCUUUUGAGUCUCUGAUUAGCCUUUUCAAAGAAGGCAAUCAGAUAUGCACGUCUCUCAGUGAGCAGAGGGAUGGCUACGAAUAGGGAGGCAGGUUUGCCCACAGCAGUUCCCAGCUUGAUUUUUCCCUUUGUGUAGUGAUGUUGGCGUCCCAAGAUUUAUUUCCCUUUCACACUGCCUUCAGCCCUCAGGUCACCCAGAGUACAGGUUCGGUUCUGGGAGGCUCUGGGCGAGAUGGGCUCUUUGAGUCCCAGCUGACCGGGCUGCUUGGGAAGGCAGUGAGCACAAGCUCCUGUUUAACCUGUACUGUGAACAUCACUGCGAGUCCCUGGUGGACCGGGCUGCAGGGAUAAGGGACCCUCGAGGCCACAGGCAAGGAGGCUGGCAGGCCAGUGUGGUCCAUAUCUGGUGACACCACACCUCGCCGGCACCCUGCUCUGGGUAUUAGUAAGCAAGGGUGACCCCUCACUGGCACCCUGCUCUGGGUGUUACUAAGCAAGAGUGACCCCUCGCCAUCCCUCCCUUGCCUCCCAGCCCUUCCGUGAGCUGAGAAAGAGUCUCCAAAGGCCGCGGGGCAUUCGAGCAGCCCCUGUGAGCCAUUUUGCUUCCGCAUCUCAUAUUUCCCUGCGUCUUUUCACCAAAUAUAUGAAGUUGUGAACACAAAACUGUCAACUGAGCUAGCUGUCUCCCUCUAACAAGAUCAGUCCCAAUUAUGCCAGCUGCCAGGAGGAUGCUGAGAGCUGUGUUCGUCUGAGAUCCUGUCUUCUGCGGUGACGUGGUGAUGGCACAGGGCAGGCCCAGGGAGUGUGUUUGAGAGGCCCCUGUGGCCGCUUCCAGAGCACCAUCAGAGAGACUCAGAGGCAUCCAGCCUGAGCAACAUGGCAACACCCCUUCUCUCCAAAAAAGAAAUACAAAAAUUAGCCGGGCAUGGUGGUGCAUGCCUAUGGUCCCAGCUACUCAGGAGGCUGAAGAGGGAGGAUUGCUUGAACCCAGGGGACAGAGGUUGCAGUGAGCUGGGAUCAUGCCACUGCACUCCAGCCUAGAUUUUUUAAAAGAAGAAAUAUGUGGACAGAAAAUAUGUGACUGAAACACCAGGAGUUUGAUGUUGGUCUUGUUGCUCACUGCACAGAAAGCCAGUCACUGAGACAAUGAAUACUGCAGGGAAGAAGGAAGGCUUCAUGCAGGUGUGCAGCUGAGGAGGAAGAGGAGAUGAAGACACAGAUAUGCACAGAGGGGCAGCCCUGUGAGGACACGUGGAGAAGACGGCGUGUGCGAGCCAGGGAGACAGAAACCAACCGUGACAACCCCUGAUCUCAGACUGCCAGCCUCCAGAGCUGGGGGAAAGUACGUUUCUGCUAUUGAAGCCCCCAGUCUGUGGUGCCGGGUUACGCGCCAGUACCCAUACGCCAGCCGAGACAGCAAUAGCGAGACACUCCGGACAGGUGAAGGGCGUGCGGCCUUCCCACCACCCACCUGAAAACACUGCCUAAAGAUGAGCCCAGUCCACAAAGCCUGUAUGAAAUGACGCGUUCAACAGCAGGAAAGACCUGGAUGGCAUAAAAAGAAAAAGAGUCAGGGAGACCAAGUCAGGCGAGGGGAGAAUGAGACUGGAAAUGGUUUGGCUGUGUCCCUACACAAAUCUCAUCUUUAAUUGCAGCUCCCAUAAUUCCCAUGUGUUGUGGGAGGGACCCAGUGGGAGAUAAUUGAACGGUGGGGGCGGUUUGCCCAUAGCGUUCUCAUGGUAGUGAAUAAGUCUCCUGAGAUCUGAUGGUUUUAAAAGGGGAAA
This is a long non-coding RNA of Gorilla gorilla gorilla (western lowland gorilla), 2871 nucleotides long. RefSeq lists it as uncharacterized. Lineage: Eukaryota; Metazoa; Chordata; Mammalia; Primates; Hominidae. The transcript has 3 exons. The record is from RefSeq and is a predicted model, not a curated record.